CAGCAGCAGCCGCGGGAAAACGAGGGGUGCAAGCGUUAUUCGGAUUGAUUGGGUGUAAAGGGUGUGCAGACGGCUUAUUAAGUCACUUGUUAAAUUCUUCGGCCUAACUGAAGGUCUGCAAGUGAUACUGAUGAGCUAGAGGGUGGAAGAGAGAAGUGGAAUUCUCGGAGUAGCGGUAAAAUGCGUAGAUCUCGAGAGGAACACCAAUGGCGAAGGCAGCCCCCUGGGCCAAUACUGACGCUCAUGCACGAAAGCGUGGGGAGCAAACAGGAUUAGAUACCCCAGUAGUCCCUGUCUCUUAUAC
RNAcentral lists this ribosomal RNA (304 nucleotides) under uncultured bacterium. Its description in RNAcentral is "partial 16S ribosomal RNA". It matches the Rfam family "Bacterial small subunit ribosomal RNA", at positions 506 to 807 of the family's 1533-position model. The record is from RNAcentral.